Molecule: ribosomal RNA, 465 nt
Filed under: Vreelandella stevensii
Lineage: Bacteria; Pseudomonadati; Pseudomonadota; Gammaproteobacteria; Oceanospirillales; Halomonadaceae
Description: partial 16S ribosomal RNA
Rfam family: Bacterial small subunit ribosomal RNA
Source: RNAcentral
CCUACGGGGGGCUGCAGUGGGGAAUAUUGGACAAUGGGCGAAAGCCUGAUCCAGCCAUGCCGCGUGUGUGAAGAAGGCCUUCGGGUUGUAAAGCACUUUCAGUGGGGAAGAAAGCCUUGGGGCUAAUACCCUCGAGGAAGGACAUCACCCACAGAAGAAGCACCGGCUAACUCCGUGCCAGCAGCCGCGGUAAUACGGAGGGUGCGAGCGUUAAUCGGAAUUACUGGGCGUAAAGCGCGCGUAGGCGGUCUGAUAAGCCGGUUGUGAAAGCCCCGGGCUCAACCUGGGAACGGCAGCCGGAACUGUCAGGCUAGAGUGCAGGAGAGGAAGGUAGAAUUCCCGGUGUAGCGGUGAAAUGCGUAGAGAUCGGGAGGAAUACCAGUGGCGAAGGCGGCCUUCUGGACUGACACUGACGCUGAGGUGCGAAAGCGUGGGUAGCAAACAGGAUUAGAUACCCCAGUAGUC